RNAcentral lists this transfer RNA (69 nucleotides) under Bos taurus (domestic cattle). It matches the Rfam family "tRNA". Rfam says of the family: Transfer RNA (tRNA) molecules are approximately 80 nucleotides in length. Lineage: Eukaryota; Metazoa; Chordata; Mammalia; Artiodactyla; Bovidae. RNAcentral also lists the same sequence under 3 other names. The record is from Rfam by way of RNAcentral.
CCUGAUAGCUCAGUUGGGAAAGAACCUGCCUACAACGCAGGAAACCCUGGUUCGAUUCCUGGGUCGGGA